UGGUGGGUAGUUUGACUGGGGCGGUCUCCUCCCAAAGCGUAACGGAGGAGCACGAAGGUUAGCUAAUCCUGGUCGGACAUCAGGAGGUUAGUGCAAUGGCAUAAGCUAGCUUGACUGCGAGCGUGACGGCGCGAGCAGGUGCGAAAGCAGGUCAUAGUGAUCCGGUGGUUCUGAAUGGAAGGGCCAUCGCUCAACGGAUAAAAGGUACUCCGGGGAUAACAGGCUGAUACCGCCCAAGAGUUCAUAUCGACGGCGGUGUUUGGCACCUCGAUGUCGGCUCAUCACAUCCUGGGGCUGAAGUAGGUCCCAAGGGUAUGGCUGUUCGCCAUUUAAAGUGGUACGCGAGCUGGGUUUAGAACGUCGUGAGACAGUUCGGUCCCUAUCUGCCGUGGGCGCUGGAGAAUUGAGGGGGGCUGCUCCUAGUACGAGAGGACCGGAGUGGACGCAUCACUGGUGUUCGGGUUGUCAUGCCAAUGGCACUGCCCGGUAGCUAAAUGCGGAAGAGAUAAGUGCUGAAAGCAUCUAAGCACGAAACUUGCCCCGAGAUGAGUUCUCCCUGAGACUUUAAGUCUCCUGAAGGAACGUUGAAGACGACGACGUUGAUAGGCCGGGUGUGUAAGCGCAGCGAUGCGUUGAGCUAACCGGUACUAAUGAACCGUGAGG
Molecule: ribosomal RNA, 663 nt
Filed under: Klebsiella pneumoniae
Lineage: Bacteria; Pseudomonadati; Pseudomonadota; Gammaproteobacteria; Enterobacterales; Enterobacteriaceae
Description: partial 23S ribosomal RNA
Rfam family: Bacterial large subunit ribosomal RNA
Source: RNAcentral